This 1174-nucleotide ribosomal RNA is filed under the name metagenome. RNAcentral describes it as "SSU rRNA". It matches the Rfam family "Eukaryotic small subunit ribosomal RNA", at positions 542 to 1774 of the family's 1831-position model. The record is from RNAcentral.
AAUCAAGUGGAGGACAAGUCUGGUGCCAGCACCCGCGGUAAUUCCAGCUCCACUAGCGUAUAUUAAAGUUGUUGCAGUUAAAAAGCUCGUAGUUGAACCUCUGUCUGGGGCUAGUUUUGGCUUUGGUCAGGCUAGUUCUAGGCAUCCGCCUACAAGACUUAGAGGGCAUUCAGUUGUUCACUAGGAGGAGUAGGCAUUUUACUUUGAAAAAAUUAGAGUGUUUAAGGCAGGCAAUCGCCCGCAUAUAUUAGCAUGGAAUAAUAGAAUAGGACACUUUUCCAUUUCGUUGGUUAUUGGAAUCGUGUAAUGAUUAAUAGGGACAGUUGUGGGCAUUUGUAUUUAAUUGUCAGAGGUGAAAUUCUUGGAUUUAUUAAAGACAAACUAACGCGAAAGCAUUUGCCAAGGAUGUUUUCAUUAAUCAAGAACGAAAGUUAGGGGAUCAAAGACGAUCAGAUACCGUCCUAGUCUUAACUAUAAACUAUUCCGACUCAAUGUUUGACUGGCUUAUAUAACCAGUUGAGCGUUGUAUGAGAAAUCAAAGUCUUUAGGUUCUGGGGGGAGUAUGGUUGCAAAGCUGAAACUUAAAGGAAUUGACGGAAGAGCACAACCAGGAGUGGAUUCUGCGGCUUAAUUUGACUCAACACGGGGAAACUUACCAGGUUAAAACAAUAGUGGGAUUGACAGUUUGAGAGCGCUUUCUUGAUUGGUUGGGUGGUGGUGCAUGGCCGUUCUUAGUUGGUGGAGUGAUUUGUCUGCUUAAUUGCGUUAACGAACGAGACCUUAACCUGCUUACUAGACUGGCGAUCAUCAAUCGUUAGCUCUUCUUAGAGGGACUUUGGUUGUUUUAACUCCAAGGAAGUUUGAGGCAAUAACAGGUCUGUGAUGCCCUUAGAUAUCCUGGGCCGCACGCGUCAUACAAUGACUAGUUCAGAAAGUUUUCUCCUGACCCGGAAGGGGAUGGGUAAUCUUGAUAAUACUAGUCGUGUUAGGGAUCGAUCUUUGCAAUUAUAGAUCUUGAACGAGGAAUUCCUAGUAAGUGCGGUUCAUCAGACCGUACUGAUUACGUCCCUGCUCUUUGUACACACCGCCCGUCGCUUCUACCGAGUGGGUGGUCCGGUGAGAUAAUUGAACUUCGCAGGUAACUGAGAGGAAAGAUUAUCAAACCUAUCCACCU